CCAUAGCUCAGUUGGUAGUAGCGCAUGACUGUUAAUCAUGAUGUCGUAGGUUCGAGUCCUACUGC
RNAcentral lists this transfer RNA (65 nucleotides) under Streptococcus sanguinis. It matches the Rfam family "tRNA", at positions 6 to 65 of the family's 71-position model. Rfam says of the family: Transfer RNA (tRNA) molecules are approximately 80 nucleotides in length. Their secondary structure includes four short double-helical elements and three loops (D, anti-codon, and T loops). Lineage: Bacteria; Bacillati; Bacillota; Bacilli; Lactobacillales; Streptococcaceae. The record is from RNAcentral. RNAcentral also lists the same sequence under 1 other name.